This 636-nucleotide long non-coding RNA is filed under the name Olea europaea subsp. europaea. The record is from RNAcentral. Lineage: Eukaryota; Viridiplantae; Streptophyta; Magnoliopsida; Lamiales; Oleaceae.
AUUUUUGGGGCGAAAAAUAAUUUCUUUUAUUUGUAGUGCUUGUUCUCAACUUCAGAAAACCGAAAAGUAAACAAAAGCCCGCUCUGAAGGCGUUUGGAAUCCGCUUUUGCUUCUGAACUAAGUUGUCAUUUCUGUGUAAAGAAUAAAUUCGAGCCCAUUCAAGUUCAUUGUAAUUAGGGUUUUAGUAAAAAAAUUUGAGUUAAAAUAAUAAUAGUCGAUCAUCAUGACGAUUCUUGAGAAGAAGAGAGUUCAGAUUCUGCUCAUUGUUGGUGUAAUUGCUCUCAGUAUAACUGGUGAGCAACUUUCGUAUUUUAUUUAUUUAUUUUGCUAUUUUGUGGGUUAACUUUCAGUUCGUUUAUUUUAAUGUACUUCAAUUUAUGCGUCUUAAAUGAUUUGAUCCCUUUUUUAUGCUUUUUUCUUUUGAAAUGUUGAAAUGAAUCACUUCAUUUCUAAAUUGGAAAAAACGAUUGCCGGUUAAAUUUCUUUUUGACUGAAAACAAGUUGCUAAUUUAGUUGAAUUUCGUUAGAACCUAAGAAGUAAGGUUAUAUAGACAAAAUUAAUUGGACCUUGGAAUCUGAAAUGAAAGAACAUUCUGUUAAAUAUAUUUUCCCUUUCCUUAACUGUAACCCUGCACU